GGGGAUGUUUUGGGUUUGACAUAAUGCUGAUAGACAAACAGUAGCAUUGGGGUAUGCCCCUUACAGCGCUAGGUUCAAUAACCGACAAAGAAAAUAACGAAGUGUUGGUAGAUCCAAAUUUGAUCAUUAACCAACAAGCAAGUGUUAACUUUGCUUUUGCAUAAGUAGAUACUAAAGCUACAGCUGGUGAAUAGUCAUAGUUUGCUAGCUGUCAUAGUUUAUGACUCGAGGUUAAAUCGUUCAAUUUAACCUUUAAAAAUAGAACUUGUUGUUUCCAUGAUUGUUUUGUGAUCAAUUGGAAACAAGACAAAAAUCCACAAAACUAAAAUGUAGAAGCUGUUUGUUGUGUCCUUUAUGGAAACGGGUUCGAUUCCCGUCAUCUCCACCA
The sequence is a non-coding RNA, 388 nucleotides long. It matches the Rfam family "transfer-messenger RNA". From Rfam's summary of the family: Bacterial tmRNA, also known as 10Sa RNA or SsrA, is named for its dual tRNA and mRNA-like properties. The record is from Rfam.